This 474-nucleotide ribosomal RNA is filed under the name uncultured organism. RNAcentral's name for it is "partial 16S ribosomal RNA". It matches the Rfam family "Bacterial small subunit ribosomal RNA", at positions 335 to 800 of the family's 1533-position model. The record is from RNAcentral.
ACUCCUACGGGAGGCAGCAGUGGGGAAUUUUGGACAAUGGGCGAAAGCCUGAUCCAGCAAUGCCGCGUGAGUGAAGAAGGCCUUCGGGUUGUAAAGCUCUUUUGUCAGGGAAGAAACGGUGAAAGCUAAUAUCUUUUGCUAAUGACGGUACCUGAAGAAUAAGCACCGGCUAACUACGUGCCAGCAGCCGCGGUAAUACGUAGGGUGCAAGCGUUAAUCGGAAUUACUGGGCGUAAAGCGUGCGCAGGCGGUUUUGUAAGUCUGAUGUGAAAUCCCCGGGCUCAACCUGGGGAUUGCAUUGGAGACUGCAAGGCUAGAAUCUGGCAGAGGGGGGUAGAAUUCCACGUGUAGCAGUGAAAUGCGUAGAUAUGUGGAGGAACACCGAUGGCGAAGGCAGCCCCCUGGGUCAAGAUUGACGCUCAUGCACGAAAGCGUGGGGAGCAAACAGGAUUAGAUACCCGGGUAGUCCCAUGA